This 403-nucleotide ribosomal RNA is filed under the name bacterium. RNAcentral's name for it is "partial 16S ribosomal RNA". It matches the Rfam family "Bacterial small subunit ribosomal RNA", at positions 355 to 776 of the family's 1533-position model. The record is from RNAcentral.
UGGGGAAUAUUGCACUAUGGGGGAAACCCUGAUGCAGCGACGCCGCGUGAACGAAGAAGGUAUUCGUAUCGUAAAGUUCUGUCCUAUGGGAAGAUAAUGACAGUACCAUAGAAGAAAGCUCCGGCUAAAUACGUGCCAGCAGCCGCGGUAAUACGUAUGGAGCGAGCGUUGUCCGGAAUUAUUGGGCGUAAAGGGUACGCAGGCGGUUUAAUAAGUCGAAUGUUAAAGAUCGGGGCUCAACCCCGUAAAGCAUUGGAAACUGAUAAACUUGAGUAGUGGAGAGGAAAGUGGAAUUCCUAGUGUAGUGGUGAAAUACGUAGAUAUUAGGAGGAAUACCAGUAGCGAAGGCGACUUUCUGGACACAAACUGACGCUGAGGUACGAAAGCGUGGGGAGCAAACAGG